Molecule: long non-coding RNA, 2306 nt
Organism: Motacilla alba alba
Lineage: Eukaryota; Metazoa; Chordata; Aves; Passeriformes; Motacillidae
Exons: 4
Source: RefSeq, a predicted model, not a curated record
CCCAGCUGCAGACUGGGAAGCUGCUUCUCAGGAGAAGAUGCCAGAGGCUGUUUCUGCUGCACCUCGCUUCUCGGCCCUGGAGGAAAUGGGUGUUUUUAGGGUGGUGAAACACCAAAACAGCCCCAGGAAACCUGAGACCUGAUGUGUGCGGUGUCCCUGCGGCACAGGCUGCUGUCACAGCCAGGGCUGGAGGUGCUGAGGGUUUGUAUGUGCAGGGAUGUGCCCAGCUUUGGGUGAUGGAUGUGGAGAGGGGACCUGCAAAAGCAGCCUGAGGAUGACUGCAGGUGGCCAGAGCCCUCCCCGUGUUGGUGGCACCCUCUUGGAGAAGCCUGGACUGGGCUGUGAGGGAUGGGCUUGGACUGGUGGCUUCUGCCAACCUCCUGCAGCACCUCCCAGGAGAUCUGUGUGCCCGGGGCUCUGCUCUGGGUGUUGGUAGAUUGGGAAGGGGCCAGGUGCAGGCUUUGAUCCAUCCCCAUGAUAAUCCCCACCCCAAACCUCAACACUGUAAUUGUCAAAUGAAGACAACUGGGGAGAAACACAUGAAUUCUCAAGCUCACUCUCAGCCCAGCAGUCAGUCCCUGGAGCUGGGGCUCCAACUUCCCCACCCAGAGAAGGGCUGAGCCAGAGAAAUGCUCCCGCAGCGAUCUGCUCCCUCCUCCUGGCUGCAUUUCUUUUUUUUUUUUUUUUUCCACAUCUUUCAUUCCCUUCCCAGCAGAGACGCGGAGGUGGCCGGAGGGGACUCGGUGUCCUCUCACAGGGAUACCAGGGCCAUGCAGAGGGCACUGGGGGGGCUAUGAAGGGUUUUCAAAGGGUGAAACACUUUGAAAUGCAGUUUCCUCUCCCCUCUUCACCUCCCCCCGGGCUAAACAAAUACCCCCCGGCCGGGAGAUGCCUCCCGCAUCCCGCAGGCUUUUGUUCCCAGGCUUUUGUCUGGAGCUGGGAAAGGGGCCAGGAUCCCUCAGCCUCCCCAGGGACACACAUGCAGACAGGGUCUUGCCUGCUUGGGAUGUUGAGAGGCAGGCGGGAGGUGAGAGCUGCCUGUGCCCGCUGCCACGGGGCUUGGGGACAUCCCAUGAGCCAUCCUGGUGUCCCUUAGUGGCCUCAGGCCAUUGUCGCCGUUGCCUGUCACAUCACUGGUACUUUCUGCCCGUCCCCGGGAGCUACUCAUGGGACAGGACCUGCCCCGCUGUGUCCCCUCUUGUCAUCCUGCCACCAGCACACGCUGCGGGCUCUGUGCAUGGCCGGUGCCACCAGCUCAUGGCCUCCCUGUGGACGCCCCCAGAUGCCAGUUCAGAGCCACCACCCGUGGCACCUUCCAGGCAGAGGGUCACCGGCUGCAUCCCCAUCACAGGGACCCUACAAGCCCAAGCAAAAAUUGUACGGGUUUACAGUGACCUCUGGUCCUCAGGAACCCAUCACCUGGCUUUUCAUUUACAUCCCAAAAGCCAUUCUAAUUACACCUCGGCGAGGGAUCACUUCAGGGAGCUGCUUUUUGGGGCAAAAUGUUGAUAGGAAAAAAUCCUGUGAACAGUCAAACGACCCUGAAGGGACCAAGGAGACUCGAGAGCCAGCCUCAAGCGUGUCCCUGCUAGUGACAAGAAACACCUUGAUGAACUCUAAGCAAAGAUGAGACUCCAAACAAGCCCUUUGCAACCAAGCCCUCUGGAAACCAAACCCUAUCUUUGCCCCGGGGCAAAGUGUUUCUCCGGUGACUAAGUUUGGAAGAAAACAGGAUUGUUUGAAAUGUCCCCUGUUGUUCCUGCCUCCCGCCAGGAAUUACAAAAAAAGAAAAUAAAUACCCGAUUUUUGUUAUUGAAACUUUGAAAGUUCCCCUGGGAAGAGCAGACACCGUUUGCCCCCGCCCAGUCCCUUCGUGUCCCUGUCCCUGUGGGGCCAGCAGCCGACGCUGGUCCAGCUCCCCGGCCAGCUGCAGCCAGAGAUGUGCAGAGCCUUUCCAGACAACAAAAGCUCCCUGGCUGCCUGAUUUCCCUCUGCCUUAUCUCCCUCCGCGAUAGCCAGCCCGGAGCACUUUGGUCCCUGUCACCCACAGGCUGGACCCGGCUCCUUGCGCAGAGCACCGGCCCCAACAGCUUGGGUGAAGGUGGCAGAGCAGCAGCUCCCUGGUCCUGUGAUGACUGCUGAAUCUCUGCCUUCAUUUUGGGCCAGGAGGACCUUUGGAGCCACCCUCACCAGAGCCCACAGUGGACAAAACCAAGUCUUUAAAGGCUCAAGAUGAACUCUGAAUGGGGACCAAGAGCUUGGGAAACUGGGAACAGUGGAAACUGGAGCCUGGUAGGUUUAAUGGU